GGGCACGACACCGGAGAGGGAGCCUGAGAAACGGCUACCACAUCNAAGGNUGGCAGCAGGCGCGCAAAUUACCCAAUCCCGACACGGGGAGGUAGUGACAAUAAAUAACAAUACGGGGUUCUUUAGGAUCUCGUAAUUGGAAUGAGUACAAUUUAAAUCUCUUAACGAGGAACAAUUGGAGGGCAAGUCUGGUGCCAGCAGCCGCGGUAAUUCCAGCUCCAAUAGCGUAUAUUAAAGUUGUUGCAGUUAAAAAGCUCGUAGUUGAAUUUCGGGGUUAGUAGGUUGGUCAUGCCUCUGGUAUGUACUGGUCUCACUGAUUCCUCCUUCCUUAUGAACCGUAAUGCCAUUAAUUUGGUGUUGCGGGGAAUUUGGACUGUUACUUUGAAAAAAUUAGAGUGUUUAAAGCAAGCUAACGCUUGAAUACAUUAGCAUGGAAUAAUGAAAUAGGACGUUCGAUCUUAUUUUGUUGGUUUCUAGGAUUGACGUAAUGAUUAAUAGGGAUAGUUGGGGGCAUUAGUAUUCAAUUGUCAGAGGUGAAAUUCUUGGAUUUAUUGAAGACUAACUACUGCGAAAGCAUUUGCCAAGGAUGUUUUCAUUAAUCAAGAACGAAAGUUAGGGGAUCGAAGACGAUCAGAUACCGUCGUAGUCUUAACCAUAAACUAUGCCGACUAGGGAUCGGAUGAUGUUAAUUUUUUAAUGACUCAUUCGGCGCCUUACGGGAAACCAAAGU
RNAcentral lists this ribosomal RNA (730 nucleotides) under uncultured Glomeromycotina. RNAcentral's name for it is "SSU rRNA". It matches the Rfam family "Eukaryotic small subunit ribosomal RNA", at positions 373 to 1104 of the family's 1831-position model. Lineage: Eukaryota; Fungi; Glomeromycota. The record is from RNAcentral.